AUGCCACACAUCCUAUGUGAGGUUGAGAGCCAUUUGAGUGAAUCCACUAACCAUAUGAGUGAGUGCAUCCUUAAGGGAGUGAGUGAGCCACAACACUUAGUGAGUGAGGUAGUUGACACGGCAUGUGAGGCCACUAUGAUUUCUCACGACUUAACCUCUACUCCGAGUGUGUUUUCUUCUUUGGUGCUAGGUAUCCUACAUGACGACAUGCCUAUCCUCCACGAGUCCAUACCUCAAAUGGAGACGACGAUGGCCAUGGUGGAAGAUGACGCACCCCCCACAUGGUUCCAUCAAGAUGAAGAUGACAACGAGUGGAUCUUCGACACCUCACCUACAACACAAGAGCGACGCUCCAAAGGUAACAUAGGUGAUGGUGCUUCUCUUGUCCCACUAGUGGACUCUCUUGACAUUGAUUGCUCCCAUGAUGAUGAUCACCUUAUGGAUUCACCACAUACUAUGUCUUCUACAUGCUUAGAUAUGCCACCUAUUUAUGAUGAAUAUGAUGAUGAGCAUGUUGAUUUGCCUAGUUGUGAUACCAUGCUCCACAGGGUAUCUUAUGAAAAUUCUAGAGGUCACGUCAUGUUUGACAACCAUUAA
RNAcentral lists this ribosomal RNA (597 nucleotides) under Triticum aestivum (bread wheat). RNAcentral describes it as "partial small subunit ribosomal RNA". Lineage: Eukaryota; Viridiplantae; Streptophyta; Magnoliopsida; Poales; Poaceae. The record is from RNAcentral.